GUAAUCUGCUCCUACACCUCGGGUAUUGGCUGGAUGGACGGAUUAUUUAUUCAUGAAAAUAACUCAGUUAAUAAGAUAUUCUUAAUCUUUUUAGGCCUAAACUCCUAUAUUAGACUCCUUAAAAACUUUCGAAUCAGAAAUUCUAUCGAAAAUUCGACAGAACCUCUCUUAAAAUAUGGACGUUUGCCCCCAUAUAAUGAAUCCAAAAUCUGCUAGAAACACUUCAAAUAUUUAAUAGAAGUCGGGCCACCAAAAUUUCAUUAAUUUUUUUUGACUCCGCAACACACUAUAGAUCAUAAUUAAUUACAGACGGUCCGUCAUUAAUAUUUAUUUCACAACCAGCCUAUAAAAAAUUUCUGGUAUUUAAACUAAUCAAACACAAUCACAUCUACCAUAAAACAAAACAAUAAUUAAUCAUACUAAUAAAUUUAUGAUAUUUAUAACUAAAUCAUAAUUAAUUAAAUCUAACUAGAUUAAAUUAUUUAUAAUUGAUAAUUAAUAGGAUUAAUAUUUUCUAAAAUUAUAAAAUAAUUUUUAAGGUUCAAACGAAAUUAUACGAGGGUGAAAAUUUGAAAUUAUGCUGGUCCGAAAAACACUAAAGUCCCAAAGCCGGUAUUGCCAAAGGUGGAGGAUUUUAAAUCUAAAAGUGCCUACGUGAAGCUUGAAUUGCGGUGAGUCCGAAAAUAUAACUGCUUUUGCCGGAAACUCGCCGGAAGCCACCGGAUCGAGGCCCGAAAGUUUCGGCUUCGGUGAGGUUGCACACAGUUGCCAGCGGGGAAAAAGCGGCUAGGGAGCUCGGCUCGGGGCUUUUCGACGGCGGGAAGCUCGUUUCCAGCAUUGGGCGAGCGAAAGGACGACGGCAUGAGGCUAUUUCGGCAGCGAUAGCUCCCUCCUCCACGUUCGACAUUGGCAGCGAGGGAAAGGAAGGAGGAGGUAAUGCUGGCAAGGGAGGGGAAGAAAAUGAGGAAGCUGCCGGAGGCUGGAGGAGGUGGCAGGCGGUGGAAAAAGAAGGGAGGUGAGGGAGGAAGAAGAGAAAAAAGGGAGAGGAAAGAAGGAAAAGAAAAAAAGUUU
This 1071-nucleotide long non-coding RNA is filed under the name Ricinus communis (castor bean). RNAcentral's name for it is "long non-coding RNA (RCOM_LNC001525)". The record is from RNAcentral. Lineage: Eukaryota; Viridiplantae; Streptophyta; Magnoliopsida; Malpighiales; Euphorbiaceae.